Molecule: ribosomal RNA, 278 nt
Filed under: uncultured bacterium
Lineage: Bacteria
Description: partial 16S ribosomal RNA
Rfam family: Archaeal small subunit ribosomal RNA
Source: RNAcentral
UGCCAGCCGCCGCGGUAAAACCAGCACCUCAAUUGGGCAGGAUGAUUAUUGGGCCUAAGCAUCCGUAGCCGGCUCUGUAAGUUUUCGGUUAAAUCUGUAUGCUCAACAUACAGGCUGCCGGGAGUACUGCAGAGCUAGGGAGUGGGAGAGGUAGACGGUACUCGGUUGGAAGGGGUAAAAUCCUUUGAUCUAUUGAUGACCACCUGUGGCGGAGGCGGUCUACCAGAACACGUCCGACGGUGAGGGAUGAAAGCUGGGGGAGCAAACCGGAUUAGAUA